Molecule: ribosomal RNA, 452 nt
Filed under: uncultured bacterium
Lineage: Bacteria
Description: bacterial SSU rRNA
Rfam family: Bacterial small subunit ribosomal RNA
Source: RNAcentral
AACGUACGCUGGCGGCACGCCUAACACAUGCAAGUCGAACGCAGUAGCAAUACUGAGUGGCAAACGGGUGAGUAUAAUGUGGGAAUCUGCCUUUUGGUUUGGAAUAACACGGGGAAACUUGUGCUAAUACCGAAUAAGCCCUUACGGGGAAAGUUUUAAUGCCGAAAGAUGAGCCCGCACUUGAUUAGCUAGUUGGUAAGGUAAAAGCUUACCAAGGCAACGAUCAAUAGCUGUUCUUAGAGGAAGACCAGCCACAUUGGGACUGAGACACGGCCCAGACUCCUACGGGAGGCAGCAGUGGGGAAUCUUGCACAAUGGGGGAAACCCUGAUGCAGCGAUGCCGCGUGAGUGAAGAAGGCCCUUGGGUUGUAAAACUCUUUCGUCGGGGAAGAAAAUGACUGUACCCGAAUAAGAAGGUCCGGCUAACUUCGUGCCAGCCGCCGCCGUAACAC